Molecule: long non-coding RNA, 320 nt
Filed under: Chlamydomonas reinhardtii
Lineage: Eukaryota; Viridiplantae; Chlorophyta; Chlorophyceae; Chlamydomonadales; Chlamydomonadaceae
Description: long non-coding RNA (CREI_LNC000621)
Source: RNAcentral
AAUGGGCCGAUGCCGCAGGUUAGCCACCAGGCAGCGCUGUCUUGCUUCUGCACAGUCUCUGGGUUUACUGCACAGAGCAAAGUAGACGUCGGGUCGCCAUGGCCGCGCACUUACUCGAGGAACAGGGUGUUCAUGACGCCCAGGCCGCGGGUGGCGGUCAGCAGCGAGUUCUUCAGGCCCAGUAGGCCGCGGGUGGCGAUACGGAACUUGAUGCGCGAGGCGCCCUGGAUCGAGGGGAUCAGGUCCACCAUCUCGCCCUUCCGCUGGGCGAACAGCUCCACGACGGCGCCCACGUACUGCUCCGGCACGUCCACAAUGGC